GAAAAAUCAAACUUAUUACAACAACAGGAAUAAAUUCAUAUCUUGGACAAUUGAAUGGCGGUUUAAUUCAACAGACGUUGUCUUGAUUGACCACGGAGUGCAUGAAAACACAAGCCUCAUCUCUGUGCUCGAGACUCAUUUGAAACCUGGCCCGUGGAAUCAUCCACUGAAGCAAUUUUGUGAAGAGCCUUUGGACAGUCUUAAACUUUU
This 210-nucleotide unclassified non-coding RNA is filed under the name Hevea brasiliensis (rubber tree). Lineage: Eukaryota; Viridiplantae; Streptophyta; Magnoliopsida; Malpighiales; Euphorbiaceae. The record is from RNAcentral.